GAUGAACGCUGGCGGCGUGCUUAACACAUGCAAGUCGAACGGAAAGGCUCCUGCUUGCCGGGGUACUCGAGUGGCGAACGGGUGAGUAACACGUGGGUGAUCUGCCCUUCACUUCGGGAUAAACCUGGGAAACUGGGUCUAAUACCGGAUAGGACCUUGUGUUGCAUGCCGUUGUGUAGAGAUUUUGGGGUGUGGGGUGAGCUCUCGGGGUAUCAGCUCUUUGUGGGGGAGUUGGCCUACCAAGGGGUUGCCGGGUUGGCGGGCUGUGGGGGUGUACGGCCACAUUGGGGCCGAGGUACGGCCCAGGCACCUAAGGGGGGGAACAGGGGGGAAUAUUGCCAGAUGGGCGCAAGGCUGAUGCAGCGAGGCCGCGUGGGGGAUGACGGCCUUCGGGGUGUAAACCCCUUUUGCAAGGGACGAAGCGCAAGUUGCCGUAACUGGAGAAGAAAGCCCCGGCUAACUACGGG
This 467-nucleotide ribosomal RNA is filed under the name uncultured bacterium. Its description in RNAcentral is "partial 16S ribosomal RNA". It matches the Rfam family "Bacterial small subunit ribosomal RNA", at positions 28 to 507 of the family's 1533-position model. The record is from RNAcentral.